GAUCCCAUCCCGAACUCGGAAGUUAAGCUCUUCGGAGCCGAUGGUACUGCACGGGUAGCCGUGUGGGAGAGUAGGACGCCGCCGGGA
This 87-nucleotide ribosomal RNA is filed under the name Myxococcales bacterium 68-20. The record is from RNAcentral. Lineage: Bacteria; Pseudomonadati; Myxococcota; Myxococcia; Myxococcales.